Molecule: RNase P RNA, 362 nt
Filed under: Ectothiorhodospira marina
Lineage: Bacteria; Pseudomonadati; Pseudomonadota; Gammaproteobacteria; Chromatiales; Ectothiorhodospiraceae
Also listed under: 1 other name
Description: Bacterial RNase P class A
Rfam family: Bacterial RNase P class A
About the family: Ribonuclease P (RNase P) is a ubiquitous endoribonuclease, found in archaea, bacteria and eukarya as well as chloroplasts and mitochondria. Its best characterised activity is the generation of mature 5'-ends of tRNAs by cleaving the 5'-leader elements of precursor-tRNAs. Cellular RNase Ps are ribonucleoproteins.
Source: Rfam by way of RNAcentral
GGAGUUGGCCAGACAGUCGCUGCGGACCCCACGUCGCAGAGGAAAGUCCGGGCUCCACAGGGCAGGGCGCCAGGUAACGCCUGGGCGGCGCGAGCCGACGGAAAGUGCCACAGAAAACAUACCGCCGAUGGUCCCCGCCUCCGGGCAGGGGCACAGGUAAGGUUGAAAAGGUGCGGUAAGAGCGCACCGCGCGGGUGGUAACACGCCGUGGCAAGGUAAACCCCGUCCGGAGCAAGGCCAAAUAGGGGUGCAUUGGUGUGGCCCGCAUUGCACCCGGGUAGGCUGCUAGAGGCGUGUGGUGACGCGCGCCCCAGAGGAAUGAUUGUCCACGACAGAACCCGGCUUACCGGCCGACUCCCCUC